AAGAAUAUACUUUCAGGGAUCAUUUCUACAGUUCAUUACUAGAGAAGUUUCUCUGAUUCUGUAGAGCACCGAAAACCAGGAGAGGAGCCAGAAGGUCAUCUCCUGAGCAUGAAACCCGUUCUAGGUGUUGCUUUUGCAGCUGCCUUUUACCAUUGAUGAUCAUUCUUCUCUUCCCUAGGAGAGGAAGACAAUGCAGUCUGAGCGU
This 205-nucleotide small nucleolar RNA is filed under the name Sorex araneus (European shrew). RNAcentral describes it as "Small nucleolar RNA U3 (ENSSARG00000015774.1)". It matches the Rfam family "Small nucleolar RNA U3". Rfam says of the family: Small nucleolar RNAs (snoRNAs) are involved in the processing and modification of rRNA in the nucleolus. There are two main classes of snoRNAs: the box C/D class, and the box H/ACA class. U3 snoRNA is a member of the box C/D class. The record is from RNAcentral. Lineage: Eukaryota; Metazoa; Chordata; Mammalia; Eulipotyphla; Soricidae.